GGAAACUUGUGCUAAUACCGAAUGUGCCCUUCGGGGGAAAGAUUUAUCGCCAUUAGAGCGGCCCGCGUCUGAUUAGCUAGUUGGUGAGGUAAAGGCUCACCAAGGCGACGAUCAGUAGCUGGUCUGAGAGGAUGAUCAGCCACAUUGGGACUGAGACACGGCCCAAACUCCUACGGGAGGCAGCAGUGGGGAAUCUUGCGCAAUGGGCGAAAGCCUGACGCAGCCAUGCCGCGUGAAUGAUGAAGGUCUUAGGAUUGUAAAAUUCUUUCACCGGGGACGAUAAUGACGGUACCCGGAGAAGAAGCCCCGGCUAACUUCGUGCCAGCAGCCGCGGUAAUACGAAGGGGGCUAGCGUUGCUCGGAAUUACUGGGCGUAAAGGGAGCGUAGGCGGACAUUUAAGUCAGGGGUGAAAUCCCGGGGCUCAACCUCGGAAUUGCCUUUGAUACUGGGUGUCUUGAGUAUGAGAGAGGUAUGUGGAACUCCGAGUGUAGAGGUGAAAUUCGUAGAUAUUCGGAAGAACACCAGUGGCGAAGGCGACAUACUGGCUCAUUACUGACGCUGAGGCUCGAAAGCGUGGGGAGCAAACAGGAUUAGAUACCCUGGUAGUCCACGCCGUAAACGAUGAUUGC
RNAcentral lists this ribosomal RNA (630 nucleotides) under Brevundimonas intermedia. Its description in RNAcentral is "bacterial SSU rRNA". It matches the Rfam family "Bacterial small subunit ribosomal RNA", at positions 152 to 816 of the family's 1533-position model. The record is from RNAcentral. Lineage: Bacteria; Pseudomonadati; Pseudomonadota; Alphaproteobacteria; Caulobacterales; Caulobacteraceae.